Molecule: long non-coding RNA, 324 nt
Filed under: Rattus norvegicus (Norway rat)
Lineage: Eukaryota; Metazoa; Chordata; Mammalia; Rodentia; Muridae
Description: long non-coding RNA NONRATT009918
Source: RNAcentral
AGAGGAUAAAAAGAGCAGGAAGCUAGGGAAGAAAAGAGACAAAAAGAAGAGGAAAUUAGAGAGCUAAAGAGAGAUAAAAGACAAGAGAGGAACAUAUACUGGCCACAGUAGUUAGGGAACUUAGGAAGAUAGUACCUGGCAACAGAAGAGAAUUCCUGGCUAAAGAUCAGUGUGCCUAAUACGAAGAAAAAGGACAUUGGGUCAGGGACUGCCCCAGAAAGAACAGGAGGGGACACUGGAGAGCCUCUUGGUGCUGGCUAUGCACAGAGAUAGAAGGGAAGCCCGCCCAGUUGUUUUGUGGAUACAGGGACCCAAUGCUCUGUG